UUUAUUCAGAUUUGUAGUCAAGGUCUUCAGCUUGCCAUUGAACUCUAAAGCCACAUUGUUGUAAUCUGAAAUGCAGUCAUUUCCACCCAUGAAAUUUGUGGUUCUCUCCAGUGGCAAGCACCCCAUUGGAGGUAGGCCUCCUAAGGAUAUUUUCCGAGCUCCGAGAUCGUAGAGUUGUUUGAUGAAAUUUCCUGCAAUUCCAAUGAGAAAAUCUUGGUAUUGUUCGAUAGAGUAUUGAUUCGACCGGCCGGGGUAUGUGUAGUAGUUUUCAAGGAAGUCAUUGGUUCCUAAGCUCAUCAUGUGCAAAGCUUCAUGGAUGGUUUGGUCUGCUUUGUUUCCUCCCAUAUAAAGUCUCAACUUGUUCUGAAAUUCUUUGUAGUACUGCAACUGCUUCCAUAGUGGUAUCACUGACUACAAAGUAAGGUAGUACAGUCCAUUAGUAUGAUAUAUAUACUGAAUUAGUACAAGGCUUAAUUAGAAUCAUGAACUGAUAUCGAGUAUCAAUAUACAAUACCUACUACAUUUUUUUUAUUAAUAAAUACUGUAAAAUAAAUUGUGAUAAAAUAUUGACUAAUUAUAAAAAAUGUAAUAGAUAUUGUAAAUUGGUACUUGGCAUCAAACACUAUUAUUUUCCCUUGUUGGUAUAAAGUGAAGUAAAUGGGCCGGUGCAACACUAGCUAGAUAUCUAAUAUCAUAUUAGACAAUCAUUAUAACUCAAUAGAAAGUGAACCAAUUAAUCGAUCAAGUUAAUAGUAACUAUAUUUAUCUGUGGAGAGAGAAGCUUUAUAAUAAAUAUUUGGGACAUACUAGCACAUCUGAAGUUGCAGUGUCAUAGCCAGUGCCAGCAGAAGCAAAAGUAACUCCGACUGCAAAAUCUGAUAUGUUAUAAGCAGGAUCCAAGUAGGCAGGUACGGAUGAUCUAAGUCCAAAAGCGUUGGAGAUGAAGUCCGUAGGCACUCUGCCAUUGGAGAACCUCCCAGUUGGCUUGCCACCUUCAAAGUCACGACCAUAGGGCUGGAAAUUGCUCUUCAAAACUGUUUGA
This 1042-nucleotide long non-coding RNA is filed under the name Malus domestica (apple). RNAcentral's name for it is "long non-coding RNA (MDOM_LNC008008)". Lineage: Eukaryota; Viridiplantae; Streptophyta; Magnoliopsida; Rosales; Rosaceae. The record is from RNAcentral.